GCAUAUCAUUAGAGGGAGGAAAAGAAAACAACUGUGAUUCCGGCAGUAGCGGCGAGCGAAGUUGGAGUAGCCCCAAUGGUAAUGGCGAAGCCAGUUGUAAGGGGAAGCGGGAAAUGCUCUGAAACGAGUAUCCAUAGAGGGUAAUAGACCUUAUUGCACUCCCGUCAUGACGAGUAGCACUGUUUGGUAGUGCAGUGUGAAAGGGUGGUUGUAAGCACCUAAGGCUAAAUACGACCAAUGACCGAUAGCGAAUAAGUACUGUAAAGGAAGCUAUCUGCUGUAGUGGCAGAGAGUGAAAUCGAGCAUGCGGAAGGCAACAUGUUGCACCCGUCUUGAAACACGGACC
RNAcentral lists this ribosomal RNA (346 nucleotides) under Paraepiseptum polycentropi. RNAcentral describes it as "partial large subunit ribosomal RNA". It matches the Rfam family "Eukaryotic large subunit ribosomal RNA", at positions 38 to 667 of the family's 3401-position model. The record is from RNAcentral. Lineage: Eukaryota; Fungi; Microsporidia; Gurleyidae.